Molecule: RNA transcript, 2897 nt
Organism: Manihot esculenta (cassava)
Lineage: Eukaryota; Viridiplantae; Streptophyta; Magnoliopsida; Malpighiales; Euphorbiaceae
Gene name: probable helicase CHR10
Exons: 18
Source: RefSeq, a predicted model, not a curated record
UUUUAUUUAAAAAUCCAAACCCUUCCGCCCCUGCGUUCCCUCCAAGCUGCUCUUCCACCUUCCAAACCGCCAACGACCGAUCAACCGUACAGAACGAAAUUAUGAAUUUCGAGCAGCGCCUCAUGGCGGCAGCUACUAUUAUAAUCGACGCCGACGUACGAGCCAGUGACUGCCCCAUAAACGCCACAGAAAUUGGGGUUACAGCCACGCUGAAACCUCAUCAAGUGGAAGGUCUCUCAUGGCUUAUACGGAGAUAUCUUCUCGGUGUCAAUGUUAUUCUCGGAGAUGAGAUGGGACUGGGGAAAACCCUGCAAGCUAUAUCUUUUUUAAGUUACUUGAAAGUUCACCGGAUGUCACAUGGACCAUUUUUGGUACUGUGUCCUCUAAGUGUUACAGAUGGCUGGGUUUCAGAGAUGGCCAAAUUCACUCCAAAACUGAAGGUUCUCAGGUAUGUAGGAGACAAAGAACACCGGCGCAAUCUACGCAAAGCAUUGUAUGAACAUGUAAAAGAGCAUCCCUCAUCAACUGAUGGUUCCUUCUUGCCUUUUGAUGUGCUCUUGACAACCUAUGAUAUAGCAUUGAUGGAUCAAGAUUUUCUUUCUCAAAUUCCUUGGCAUUAUGCAAUAAUUGACGAAGCUCAAAGACUUAAAAAUCCUUCAAGUGUGCUAUAUAACAUUCUCAAGGAGCACUUCCUCAUGCCAAGACGGCUAUUGAUGACUGGCACGCCUAUUCAGAAUAAUCUUACUGAACUCUGGGCUUUGUUGCAUUUUUGCAUGCCUUCAAUGUUUGGGAAACAUGAGCAGUUCCUUUCCACAUUCAAAGAAGCUGGGGAUCUUACAUCAGAUCUUGAUGCAGCCAAGGUGAAGGGGCAGCUGAAGACUUUAAAAUGCAUAAUGAAAGCCUUAAUGCUAAGAAGAACAAAAUCUAAGCUAAUAGAGGGUGGAAACUUAGUGCUGCCACCACUUACUGAGAUUACUGUGAUGGCUCCACUGGUCAGCCUGCAAAAGAGUGUGUACACAUCAAUAUUGAGGAAGGAACUCCCAAAACUUCUGGCAUUGUCAUCUUUUAAUAAUCAAUCUCUCCAGAAUAUUGUAAUACAACUACGAAAAGCAUGUAGCCAUCCUUACCUAUUUCCUGGUAUUGAGCCUGAGCCUUUUGAAGAGGGUGAACACCUAGUUCAGGCUAGUGGAAAGCUUAUAAUUUUGGAUAAGCUACUUCAGAAACUUCAUGAUUUUGGACAUCGUGUUCUUCUCUUUGCUCAGAUGACUCAUACACUUGACAUAUUACAGGAUUUUUUGGAGUUGCGCAAGUAUUCCUACGAGCGUCUUGAUGGUUCAGUUCGGGCUGAGGAACGUUUUGCUGCCAUAAGAAGUUUUAGUGGGCAAUUAGGGAAGAUGAAUUCUGAAUUUGACGAAAAUAGUGCUUUUGUUUUCUUGAUAUCUACAAGAGCAGGGGGAGUUGGCUUAAAUCUUGUGGCUGCAGAUACGGUUAUAUUCUAUGAGCAAGAUUGGAAUCCCCAGGUUGACAAGCAGGCUUUGCAGCGGGCUCACCGGAUUGGUCAAAUGAAUCAUGUGUUGUCCAUAAACUUGGUUACAAGGCAUACUGUAGAAGAGGUUAUUAUGCGGAGAGCAGAGAGGAAAUUGCUGCUUAGUCAUAAUGUUAUAGGAGAUGAUACUGUGGAACAGAAUGGAAAGGGAACAUCUGGAGUUGAAACUAUUGACUUGAAAUCUAUCAUAUUUGGGUUACAUAUGUUUGAUCCUUCUGAGAUCAGUACUGAAAAGUCAGACGAACUAAACAUGCCAGAAUUGAAUGCUAUGACAGCGAAAGUAAUUGCUAUGCGUGAUGAUCAGAGAUUGGGAGGGACGGAUAGCAAGUAUGAGGUUAAUCAAAUUGAUGUCAUUAGUGGGGGAAAUUCUGCUUUUGUAGAUUAUGAUCAUGGGCUUGAUGAGGAAAUGUAUCAAUCAUGGGUCAGAAAAUUUAAGGAAGCAUCACAAUCAAGUGGCAACCAAGUCUUGGAUUUGGGGCAUAGAAGGAACUUGCCUGAGGAUAAGCAUCUUAAACUUGAGGCUGCAAGGAAGAAAGCUGAGGAGAAAAAGUUGUUCAAGUGGGAAUCACUUGGAUACCAUUCGUUGUCUGUUAAAGAUCCUGACCCAGCUGUGGAUGGUGAUGUAUUGUCAGAUUCAGGUUCUCUUCAUUUUGUUUUCGGAGAUUGUACAGAUCCAGCAAAAGUUUGCCCAUCUGAGCCCACCAUAAUAUUCAGUUGUGCUGAUAACUCUGGAAAUUGGGGCCAUGGAGGAAUGUUUGAUGCACUGGCCAAGCUGUCUACAAGUAUCCCUGAUGCAUAUCAACGGGCAUCUGAAUUUGGGGACCUUCAUCUUGGUGAUCUCCAUCUUAUAAGAAUUAAUGGGGACUCUGACAGACAGAGCUUGGAAGAUGAUCCUCCUCGGUGGGUGGCUUUAGCUGUUGUGCAAUCAUAUAAUCCUAGGCGUAAAGUGCCCCGCAGUAAUAUCUCUAUUCUCGACUUGGAGCGUUGCCUAUCCAAAGUUUCAUUUGCAGCAGCUAAGAAUUCUGCUUCAAUCCACAUGCCUCGAAUUGGGUAUCAAGAUGAAUCAGAUCGAUCACAGUGGUACACAGUAGAACGUCUUCUACGAAAAUACGCUUCUAUUUAUAGCACAAAGAUAUAUGUGUAUUAUUAUCGACGAUCAUCUUGAAGCUUGUGGAAUUGUCUUUGUGAGGUUCUUGACAUUUGGAGUCGACUCAUAGAACUAGCUAUUCUCUCUGCAUGAAAUCCGAUGGAAGCAGCAACCUACCAUGUAUGUUUACUCCAGUGACAUAUGCGGCCACAACCCCAACUCACUGCUCAACAAACCCAUGUCCACUUUAAUAUAUAUGGGCUA